CCUACGGGAGGCAGCAGUGAGGAAUAUUGGUCAAUGGACGAGAGUCUGAACCAGCCAAGUAGCGUGAAGGAUGACGGCCCUAUGGGUUGUAAACUUCUUUUAUAGGGGAAUAAAAUGUGCCACGUGUGGGAUUUUGUAUGUACCAUAUGAAUAAGGAUCGGCUAACUCCGUGCCAGCAGCCGCGGUAAUACGGAGGAUCCGAGCGUUAUCCGGAUUUAUUGGGUUUCAAGGGAGCGUCGGUGGAUUGUUAAGUCAGUUGUUAAAGUUUUCGGCUCAACCGUAAAAUUGCAGUUGAAACAGGCAGUCUUGAUUACAGUCGAGGUGGGCGGAAUUCGUGGUGUAGCGGUGACAUGCUUAGAUCUCACGAAGAACUCCGAUUGCGAAGGCAGCUCACUGGACUGCAACUGACACUGAGGCUCGCAAGUGUGGGUAUCAAACAGGAUUAGAUACCCGGGUAGUC
This 460-nucleotide ribosomal RNA is filed under the name uncultured bacterium. Its description in RNAcentral is "partial 16S ribosomal RNA". It matches the Rfam family "Bacterial small subunit ribosomal RNA", at positions 338 to 795 of the family's 1533-position model. The record is from RNAcentral.